CUGCAGCCCGAGUGGCGAUCGAUUUUAUUGAGCCUAAAGCGUCCGUAGCCGGACUAGUAAACCCUUGGGUAAAUUGGGCAGCUUAACUGUCCAAAUUCCGAGGGGACUGCUAGUCUUGGGACCGGGAGAGGUCAGAGGUACUCAAGGGGUAGGGGCUAAAUCCUGUAAUCCUUUGGGGACCACCAGUGGCGAAGGCGUCUGACUAGAACGGAUCCGACGGUAAGGGACGAAACCCUGGGGCGCGAACCGGAUUAGAUACCCGAGUAGUCC
This 270-nucleotide ribosomal RNA is filed under the name uncultured archaeon. RNAcentral describes it as "partial 16S ribosomal RNA". It matches the Rfam family "Archaeal small subunit ribosomal RNA", at positions 477 to 747 of the family's 1478-position model. The record is from RNAcentral.